Molecule: long non-coding RNA, 1166 nt
Organism: Mytilus californianus (California mussel)
Lineage: Eukaryota; Metazoa; Mollusca; Bivalvia; Mytilida; Mytilidae
Exons: 3
Source: RefSeq, a predicted model, not a curated record
UAAGGGGAAAGAACUCAUUAAUCUAACGCAAACAUGGCGGCUAUCCGGGGAAAAUCAAGUUUUGUGUUUACAAAAAGAUUGUUUGUUCACUGUUGGUCACUUAAUGUAAGUGGGAAAAACUGAUUGGAUAAAGAUAUUAAACAGUCUUUAUAGUACAGGUGAAAUAGGAGACUCAUCUGCUUGUGGAGUUACAUACAGAUGCUGUUUUGAAUCAUAAGAAAUGACUGAUAUUAAUUUAUUUCUUCAGUUCCUCAUUAGCUUCUUCACAAGGAAUAAAUUGUGUAAGGAGUUCUAUAUUCCUAUUUAAAGACCUAACUUUUUUUUCCAUUUGAGUGUAUGAAAGCAAAUUAAUUGAAUUCAUUCUGAAUACUGAGCUUAUAUAGUUUUAUGUACAUGUAUAUGUGACUUUAUCUUUAUUUGACUUUUUAUUUAUAAGUUAUCUAAACAUUAAUAAUUUUAUUCUUUGUAUGAGAAGCUAUAAACAAUCAACUAUAUAUUUUUUUCUCGCCUGCGAUGAAAGUCCGGGAAAGUGAGACAUAAGGGUUCCUUUUCUGGCGAUGAUGGCUCUGGCAUCAACAAUUGUUAAGUUUGCUGCUUAAGUUAGUAAGUUUGACAGGUAUUACUUGUGAUAGAUCAUUGAUAUUUAAUAUAAAGUUGUAUUACUAUCAGUACAUAUCAGUUUGACAAUUAUUUUGAGGCCCUGUUUCUAGGAUAUGGUGCAGUGACUUGGAUUUAGAGAUUUUCAAUAUUAAUAGAAAAACAAAGGAUAUGGAGUAUCCAUCCAUGACACAAAAUCAGUAAAUGCACAACAAAAAAGCAAAGGAACAGUGCUUUUAUUGCUGUUCUUCAUCCCAAAGUCACAGUGAGACCUCAACUCUGAGCAAAAAAACUCUCACUUCACUGCAAGUCUAAGACAGCCCCUAGCACCGGCUUUAGCGGAAUUCUUUGCAAGAAUAAUUUGGAUAGACUUUGUAAGAUGUAACACCACUCAAUCUGGCUAAGUCCAAAAGGAACAUACUGGAAAGUAGUACAUAUUUAAAACAAAAAAGUUUACUGCUUAAGUUAGUUUGAUAGGAUCUAAUUCUGACACAUACAUUACAAUAUAUCCAAAAAUAAAGUAAUUGUCUGAUACAGAAGUUUUAUAUGUUUUAAAGAAUAAUGCUGUU